GUGCUCACUUCAGUGGCACAUAUAUUAAAAUUGGAACAAUAUAGAGAAGAUUAGAGUGGCCCCCGCGCAAAAAUGACACACAAAUUCAUGGAGUGUUCCAUAUUUUU
This is a small nuclear RNA of Varanus komodoensis (Komodo dragon), 107 nucleotides long. The record is from Ensembl. NCBI's taxonomy places the organism in Eukaryota, Metazoa, Chordata, Lepidosauria, Squamata, Varanidae.